AAAUUGAAGAGUUUGAUCAUGGCUCAGAUUGAACGCUGGCGGCAGGCCUAACACAUGCAAGUCGAACGGUAACAGGAAGCAGCUUGCUGCUUCGCUGACGAGUGGCGGACGGGUGAGUAAUGUCUGGGAAACUGCCUGAUGGAGGGGGAUAACUACUGGAAACGGUGGCUAAUACCGCAUAACGUCGCAAGACCAAAGAGGGGGACCUUCGGGCCUCUUGCCAUCAGAUGUGCCCAGAUGGGAUUAGCUUGUUGGUGAGGUAACGGCUCACCAAGGCGACGAUCCCUAGCUGGU
RNAcentral lists this ribosomal RNA (294 nucleotides) under Salmonella enterica subsp. enterica serovar Infantis. RNAcentral describes it as "partial 16S ribosomal RNA". It matches the Rfam family "Bacterial small subunit ribosomal RNA", at positions 1 to 291 of the family's 1533-position model. The record is from RNAcentral. RNAcentral also lists the same sequence under 5 other names. Lineage: Bacteria; Pseudomonadati; Pseudomonadota; Gammaproteobacteria; Enterobacterales; Enterobacteriaceae.